This 496-nucleotide ribosomal RNA is filed under the name uncultured bacterium. Its description in RNAcentral is "partial 16S ribosomal RNA". It matches the Rfam family "Bacterial small subunit ribosomal RNA", at positions 28 to 506 of the family's 1533-position model. The record is from RNAcentral.
GAUGAACGCUGGCGGCGUGCCUAAUACAUGCAAGUCGAGCGAACAGACGAGGAGCUUGCUCCUCUGACGUUAGCGGCGGACGGGUGAGUAACACGUGGAUAACCUACCUAUAAGACUGGGAUAACUUCGGGAAACCGGAGCUAAUACCGGAUAAUAUAUUGAACCGCAUGGUUCAAUAGUGAAAGACGGUUUUGCUGUCACUUAUAGAUGGAUCCGCGCCGCAUUAGCUAGUUGGUAAGGUAACGGCUUACCAAGGCAACGAUGCGUAGCCGACCUGAGAGGGUGAUCGGCCACACUGGAACUGAGACACGGUCCAGACUCCUACGGGAGGCAGCAGUAGGGAAUCUUCCGCAAUGGGCGAAAGCCUGACGGAGCAACGCCGCGUGAGUGAUGAAGGUCUUCGGAUCGUAAAACUCUGUUAUUAGGGAAGAACAAAUGUGUAAGUAACGAUGCACGUCUUGACGGUACCGAAUCAGAAAGCCACGGCUAACUACGU